Apteryx haastii (Great spotted kiwi) is the source of this 155-nucleotide small nuclear RNA. Its record names the gene U1. It matches the Rfam family "U1 spliceosomal RNA". From Rfam's summary of the family: U1 is a small nuclear RNA (snRNA) component of the spliceosome (involved in pre-mRNA splicing). The record is from Ensembl. NCBI's taxonomy places the organism in Eukaryota, Metazoa, Chordata, Aves, Apterygiformes, Apterygidae.
UUGGUAACCAUUUGGGAGAUACCAUGACAAAGACCAUGGCUUUCCCACAGUGAGAGUCAUUCCUUAAACACAUAUGUGCUGACACCUGUGAUUUCCCCAAAGGUGGGAAACUCAGCUGUAUAACUUGGUCAUAGUGCUCUGUUAGCAUUCUCUGG